GAAAGUACUGAAUUCAAAUCCCAACUCUGCCACCAGCGGUGGGAGAUUGGACAAUAUGUUCAUUACUCUGGGUCAUACAUACACAGUGAGGAUAAUAUAUUUUUUCAUGAGGACCCAAUGAGAUGAUUCAUGCAAAAUGUUUACUAUAGUGCCUGGCACAUAGUAAAUACUCAAUAAACAUUAGCUUUAAAAGGUAUCAAACAUUUGUUGAGCACUUGCAAUGUACCAGGCCUAACUUGGGAAACAAAAUGAAAAUAGACGGUCCUGUUUCAAAGAGAUAACAGUUUGGUAGAGAAACAUACAUACAAAUAAAAAAAAAAAAAACAUGCUCACUACUCAAAUGAAAACAUCACAGGCAGGUUAGAAAAUGAACUUAUACAUCUGCCUGGAAAGACAGGUAAAUAGAAAUCUUGGAAGAGGAGGAAGCAUUUGACUCAAGAUGAGUAGAGGGGAGAUGAGGAGAGACCUUUUGAAGGACUCCUUAAGAGCUGUACAAACAACUUCUUACAUAGGAGAUAAUUGGUCCUGCCACUUAAAAGUGUUAGCAUCCUUGGUACGUGUUGCUGAUCCCAUUACGGAGAGAAGGCAGGGAGGACUUGUAACCACUUGCCUCUGGAAAAGCAGGAGUGACCGGGAUAAAUGGAGCUGGAAGAGCCUUAAAGAGCUUGUCAUUCAUCCUCUUUGUUUCACAAAUGAGGCAACAGUGGCCUAGAGGCUGAGAAGUGUUGUUCCAGACAGAGUCUUCUAUGGGGCUUUUUCCAGCCUUUUGCAUGAAGAGACCUAUAGUACUUAUUCAUUGCAGUAGACAUAAAUGAAUGGUGUUCUUCCCACAUUAGCUGAGAAAGAUACAGACCAAAGGAAAGUAAAACUUUGGUAAGCCCCAAGAGGGAGAGAAGCCAGUAAUACUGAAGUUACUGUACUGGCCCAUGUAAUUGGUGCUGAGUGCGAGUGAAUCAGAUUCCAAUCCACUCAAAUUUAGGGCACCUGGCCCGGAACUUUUAACUAAGAGCCGUUGUCAACAGCAACAAAACAGUCACCAAGACUGGGCAGUACCUUGACCCAAAGCCAAGAGGCAGGACCACAGAAAGUCUACAGACGUGAUAUUCCACUUCCAUGUGCACAUCACAUCGCAAGAGGAACUGCUG
Molecule: long non-coding RNA, 1145 nt
Organism: Myotis myotis
Lineage: Eukaryota; Metazoa; Chordata; Mammalia; Chiroptera; Vespertilionidae
Exons: 3
Source: RefSeq, a predicted model, not a curated record